This 895-nucleotide ribosomal RNA is filed under the name Sporothrix stenoceras. RNAcentral describes it as "LSU rRNA". It matches the Rfam family "Eukaryotic large subunit ribosomal RNA", at positions 38 to 964 of the family's 3401-position model. The record is from RNAcentral. Lineage: Eukaryota; Fungi; Ascomycota; Sordariomycetes; Ophiostomatales; Ophiostomataceae.
GCAUAUCAAUAAGCGGAGGAAAAGAAACCAACAGGGAUUGCCCCAGUAACGGCGAGUGAAGCGGCAACAGCUCAAAUUUGAAAUCUGGCCCCCCGGCCCGAGUUGUAAUUUGGAGAGGAUGCUUUUGGCGCGGCGCCGUCCGAGUUCCUUGGAACAGGACGCCACAGAGGGUGAGAGCCCCGUACGGACGGACGCCUAACCUUUACAAAGCUCCUUCGACGAGUCGAGUAGUUUGGGAAUGCUGCUCAAAAUGGGAGGUAAAUUUCUUCUAAAGCUAAAUACCGGCCAGAGACCGAUAGCGCACAAGUAGAGUGAUCGAAAGAUGAAAAGCACUUUGAAAAGAGGGUUAAAAAGUACGUGAAAUUGUUGAAAGGGAAGCGCCUGUGACCAGACUUGCGCCCCGUGGACCAUCCGGCGUUCUCGCCGGUGCACUCUGCGGGGCGCAGGCCAGCAUCGGUUCUCCUAGGGGGAUAAAGGCCGCGGGAACGUAGCUCCUUCGGGAGUGUUAUAGCCCGUGGUGGCAUGCCCCUGGGGGGACCGAGGACCGCGCUUCGGCAAGGAUGCUGGCGUAAUGGUCACCAGCGACCCGUCUUGAAACACGGACCAAGGAGUCAAGCAUUGGGGCGAGUGUAUGGGUGCCAAACCCGCACGCGAAAUGAAAGUAAACGCAGGUGAGAGCUUCGGCGCAUCAUCGACCGAUCCUGAUGUCUUCGGAUGGAUUUGAGUAAGAGCCUUACCGCUUGGACCCGAAAGAUGGUGAACUAUGCCUGAAUAGGGUGAAGCCAGAGGAAACUCUGGUGGAGGCUCGCAGCGGUUCUGACGUGCAAAUCGAUCGUCAAAUUUGGGCAUGGGGGCGAAAGACUAAUCGAACCAUCUAGUAGCUGGUUACCGCCGA